Long non-coding RNA from Etheostoma cragini (Arkansas darter), 102 nucleotides. RefSeq lists it as uncharacterized. Lineage: Eukaryota; Metazoa; Chordata; Actinopteri; Perciformes; Percidae. The transcript is spliced from 3 exons. The record is from RefSeq and is a predicted model, not a curated record.
CAUAUGAGUACACCUAUGAGCCAAUCUGUGAAACACAGCCAUCAGGGGCCCAAACACAUGAUUGUUCAAUUGUAGACACACCAAUCGAGUUUUUUACCGUAA